Molecule: ribosomal RNA, 425 nt
Filed under: Eocyzicus parooensis
Lineage: Eukaryota; Metazoa; Arthropoda; Branchiopoda; Diplostraca; Eocyzicidae
Description: partial 16S ribosomal RNA
Rfam family: Bacterial large subunit ribosomal RNA
Source: RNAcentral
AUGGCCGCGGUAUUCUGACCGUGCGAAGGUAGCAUAAUCAUUAGUCUCUUAAUUAGAGGCUGGUAUGAACGGUUUAACGAGAAAGUAACUGUCUCUUAUAUAAAAUUUGAACUUUAUUUUUAGGUGAAAAAGCCUAAAUAUAUCUGGAGGACGAUAAGACCCUAUAGAGCUUCAUUUAUUUUAUAUUUUUCAGACUUAGUAUUUAUGAAAAUAAAUAAAAAAAAUAAAUUUUGUUGGGGCGACAAAAAGACAAUACUUAACUCUUUCUUCUAUUAACAGAAAAAUCUGAAAAAUUGAUCCUUAAAGAAAGAUCAUAUGAACAAGUUACCUUAGGGAUAACAGCGUAAUCCUUUUUGAGAGUUCACAUCGACAAAAGGGUUUGCGACCUCGAUGUUGGAUUAAGAAUUUGCUAGGGUGUAGCAGCU